GCACAAGCGGUGGAGCAUGUGGUUUAAUUCGACGCAACGCGAAGAACCUUACCAGGGCUUGACAUCCCCUGACCGCGUAUGAAAGUACGUUUUCACCCUCGGGUGACAGGGAGACAGGUGGUGCAUGGUUGUCGUCAGCUCGUGUCGUGAGAUGUUGGGUUAAGUCCCGCAACGAGCGCAACCCCUACGUUUAGUUGCUAACGCGUGAAGGCGAGCACUCUAGACGAACUGCCGUUGACAAAACGGAGGAAGUGGGGAUGACGUCAAAUCAUCAUGCCCCUUAUGUUCUGGGCUACACACGUGCUACAAUGGCCGGUACAGACGGACGCAAAGCCGCGAGGUGGAGCAAAUCCUAAAAAGCCGGUCUCAGUUCGGAUUGCAGGCUGCAAUUCGCCUGCAUGAAGUCGGAAUCGCUAGUAAUCGCGGAUCAGCACGCCGCGGUGAAUACGUUCCCGGGCCUU
RNAcentral lists this ribosomal RNA (461 nucleotides) under uncultured Pelotomaculum sp. RNAcentral describes it as "bacterial SSU rRNA". It matches the Rfam family "Bacterial small subunit ribosomal RNA", at positions 923 to 1382 of the family's 1533-position model. The record is from RNAcentral. Lineage: Bacteria; Bacillati; Bacillota; Clostridia; Eubacteriales; Desulfotomaculaceae.